RNAcentral lists this ribosomal RNA (465 nucleotides) under Vreelandella stevensii. RNAcentral describes it as "partial 16S ribosomal RNA". It matches the Rfam family "Bacterial small subunit ribosomal RNA", at positions 338 to 795 of the family's 1533-position model. The record is from RNAcentral. Lineage: Bacteria; Pseudomonadati; Pseudomonadota; Gammaproteobacteria; Oceanospirillales; Halomonadaceae.
CCUACGGGUGGCAGCAGUGGGGAAUAUUGGACAAUGGGGGCAACCCUGAUCCAGCCAUGCCGCGUGUGUGAAGAAGGCCCUCGGGUUGUAAAGCACUUUCAGUGAGGAAGAACGCCUGGUGGUUAAUACCCAUCAGGAAAGACAUCACUCACAGAAGAAGCACCGGCUAACUCCGUGCCAGCAGCCGCGGUAAUACGGAGGGUGCGAGCGUUAAUCGGAAUUACUGGGCGUAAAGCGCGCGUAGGUGGCUUGAUAAGCCGGUUGUGAAAGCCCCGGGCUCAACCUGGGAACGGCAUCCGGAACUGUCAAGCUAGAGUGCAGGAGAGGAAGGUAGAAUUCCCGGUGUAGAGGUGAAAUGCGUAGAGAUCGGGAGGAAUACCAGUGGCGAAGGCGGCCUUCUGGACUGACACUGACACUGAGGUGCGAAAGCGUGGGUAGCAAACAGGAUUAGAUACCCCUGUAGUC